GGACUACUGGGGUAUCUAAUCCCGUUCGCUCCCCCAGCUUUCGCGCCUCAGCGUCAAGAGUGCCCCAGGAGACCGCCUUCGCCACUGGUGUUCCUACCGAUAUCUACGCAUUUCACCGCUACACCGGUAAUUCCAUCUCCCCCUAGCACCUUCAAGACCGCCAGUAUCCACCGACCCUCCGGGGUUGAGCCCCGGGCUUUCACAGCGGACUUGGCGACCCGCCUACGCGCGCUUUACGCCCAGUAACUUCGGACAACGCUCGCCCCCUCCGUAUUACCGCGGCUGCUGGCAC
This 292-nucleotide ribosomal RNA is filed under the name uncultured Planctomycetota bacterium. Its description in RNAcentral is "uncultured planctomycete partial 16S ribosomal RNA". The record is from RNAcentral. Lineage: Bacteria; Pseudomonadati; Planctomycetota.